UUCCGGUAGGGGGGCCCUGCCGUUGGAUCAGU
Molecule: ribosomal RNA, 32 nt
Filed under: Trichomonas tenax
Lineage: Eukaryota; Parabasalia; Trichomonadida; Trichomonadidae
Description: partial 18S small subunit ribosomal RNA
Source: RNAcentral